AAAAAUAGAAUUCAAAAUAGAAACUCUUGUGAAAUACGUGUUCCAUGCCCGUCCUCUUUCUCUGUGAAAGCAUGAGUCCGAAUCUUUCGGGUUUGAAGGUGCUGUAGACGCGCAAAAAAUGCCUCUUCGGUCGGGUCGUUGCAUCGGAAUACGGAUAUAGCUUUUAAGAGCCUAAAAGUAGGCAGUUUUGAUCGACCGGCAGGAAAGUAUACUCUCGAUAAAUUCGCUUUUAAUUUCAGAAACAGUUAAACGCGUGGUGCUCAUUUGAUCACAGUGGGAUCGUGUCAUAAAUCUCUGUGCUUCAAUUCAGGAUUGAACUUCACUUUUCUUUUCUUGAGGUUACCAUCAAUUAUGAAUCGACGGCAUAAGUGCAUGCUCUUAAUCUGCCUCAUAACACAUUCAGUUCUUCCAACCGGUCAAGCCUUAUCAGAAGAACAACUCAGGGAGCACAACGAAAAAUAUCCACCUCGGAAAAAAUCAGAACCUCCAGAUAAUGGUGCAAUAGAGAAAGAGGAUAGCUUAACAAGAACACGAAGAAAAUAAUGGAAGCACACCCGAGUUUCUCGAAUUUUGUCGCUUUACCUCCGGAGUAUUAUGAACCGAUACCAGAAAAUGAUCCACUAGAACAGCCUCCCAUCUCGCGCAAUAAGAAUUGGGAAUUAAUGCGGUCCGACUGUGAUUACUUCGGGAUUCUGCACUUCAAAGAGGACAUUUCUCUCGCUCCGAUGCCUUUAAAAAUACCUGUAACAGACGAAGAAGUGGGGGUCGACUACGAGUGCGAAUUUUCAGAUGCAGCCAAGAAAUUAGUACGACAAAAGGGAGCUUCAUGGUUUAUUUUUAGGAAGCUCUACGCUACGAGCCCUAGAAUGUCGAGGCUGUACUUAAAGAGGUUCGGCAUUGAUAUCAAGGGCGUGUUGUUCCCUGAAAAUACCCCAGGUUCCAGGAAAAGUACCUCGCGGGGAGACAGCCUUGGAAGCAGAUCCUCAAGGUUUCUAAAUGAAGCCAUAGCCAAAUUACCAAAUCGCCGAGCAGUAAGGGGCAAAAUACGUACUCUGGAUCAAGUAUGAGUGAUAUGAAAACCAGGAUGUCCAGAUCUAACACGUUGAAAUCGAUGACGAGCCAGCUGGUCAGAGCGGUUAACCCAUCUAAAUGGUCGCUGCUCAGGAAUCGGAGAGUUGGGUUGGCGCAGACGGUCAAAAAAGCCAAUCAGAAUCAAGCCAACCAGAAUCAAGCCAAUCAGAAUCAGAAUAGGGCGUCUUGAUGCCCUGAAGUUCGGACUCUUCCGGUUGAUUUUGUCUUCGCAAAGCGACACCUUCAAUUUGCUUCCACUCCGCGCUACUGGACGAAGAAACAUGUUCUAUUUAUAUUUUAAUUUAUUUAUUUUUUCGUUGUUUUUAACCCCCCUUCCUCCUCUCUUGUUAUGCAUUUACCUUUCUUUUAAGUUCUGUACUUAGAUUGAUCGAACAUCCUCCACUGUUAAAAUAUCUGAACACGUUGUUUCUUUUAUUUCGGUUAUUUGUCCGAAGGACCGCAAUCUCAGUCUACCGUGCCUCGUAAAAACUUAGUAAACGUAUUCGAAUGUUGCCAAAUUUUUUUCUUUGAAGAUAUCCUUUUUUGACGGAAGUAUGAAUAAUUGUCCUUGAAAUUUUCAGACUUUUCACAUCAAAUCCCGAACAAAAUCGUGUGAGAACUCGGAGGAGAAAUAUCCACAGAUUUUCCUGAUAAUUGGAUGUAUUUCUGCCAAACGGACUUAUGUUCAUUAUGACAUGAGCCCUGUCAUGCAUACAUUCUUAUGGGUUUCAGGGCUCACGCUAUAAUGCAUAUAGUUCCGCUUCGUAGAAAUACGUCCAAUUCGUGUUUUGUCAAAAGAAAUUUGGCAACGUCUGAUGGCUCAUCAGUGGCGUGGCGUGCUGUUCGAUAUAUCGAUUGUUAUGCCAUUUAAACCUAUGGAAAAGGAUCGAUAAACAGGGUGUUUGCAGCGAACACCUUAAUAAUCGAUUCUUUACCAUAGGUUUAAAUGGCAUAACAAUCGAUGCAUCGCAGUUCACGCCACGCCACUGUGGCUCAUACGGCGUUCCUACUAAGCAAGGCAGUAGUGUUCCCAUUAUCCGCGGGUGGGUAAAGGAAACACAGCUUUGCAUCCUUUUGCCCCCCCCCCCCCGAGGAUAGAAGCCCCCCGGCCCCCACCUACCCCGAAAACAUUCUUCAACGAAUAAACGAGUGCGUAACUAGAUUGCAACCUUCUGUAUUCCGUUUACCAGUCCAUACGGGUAGAGUCCCUUUAUACUGAGAGUCAAGACAAUUCGGCUCAUGGAUGUCACAAACGGAAUAAAGAUUACAGAAAUUGAACGUUUUUCGUAAUCUUUGAUCGGCCCAUUCUCAAAUUCCUUUCUCCGUUUCUCCUCUCAUUCCGUUUUUUUCCUUGCCGAACCUGUAAUUCCCUGGUCCAUUCCAGAUUAUAAUCUUUGCAAUCGGUAAAAAUGUAAUCUUUAUUCCCGUUUGUGACACUGUGGAGGCCUAAAAUACGGGAACCAAUCAGAAAUGGAUUCAAAUUGUCUUGACUCUCAGUAUAAAGGGACUCUACAUACGGGUAGCGGGAACACAGCAUAUCGACGGUGAAACUACCAGCCCGCGUAUCUCGGUUCGCGACGUUGUAGACUUCCUGUCGUAUUUUAUUUUUUAAAUGGAAACCACCCAACGUCAAUUCUUUAAACUUAUUCCGAAUGUUUCUUCUCUGUGCGAGGAAAACUCUGUGAAAAGUUGAAGAAAUGACAUUGAUUUGUUCUUUUUCGAAAAAAUAAAAUAGGAGCGGAGAUUUUUAAAACAUCGCGAACGAGAUCCGCGGUUUCGUAGUUUCACCGUCGAUAUCCAUGCUCGAAGUGCGAAACCGCGUAUAGCUGUUCGCGACGCCGCAGACUUCCUAUUAUUCUUUCUUCUCUUUUUGGAAAACAAUGAACGGAAUUUCUCAUGAAAUUCCAUGAUUUUGUUUCUCUGUUAGCAGGACAUGCUGUAUGAACAAGCUGUAAAGUUGGCUGUUUGCCUAUUCAAAAAGGUGGAAUAGGAGCGAAAAUUUUGAGACGUCGCAAUAAUGGACAUCGAUAUGCUCCUUCGGAUGAACACACGCGCUCAAAUUUUUAACAAAGUGUUCCAGAUUGUAUCCUUUGAUUUUUUUCUUACUGUUUCUGAUGAUUCUUUUUGUCAUUCUCCUUGUAAUUUAAAGACUUUGUUUCUCAUUAUUUCUCAAAAAGUUGUUCCGUAAAGAUCAAAAUAAAUCGUUUUUACAAGAAACUUGUUUUCCAGAGUGCUGUUACACUCAAAAAAGGUAUGACUCUGAGACCCAUAAAAAAUGGCUCGGAGAUCCAUAAUUUCUAACAAAAACGACUUACCGUCU
RNAcentral lists this long non-coding RNA (3391 nucleotides) under Bemisia tabaci. Its description in RNAcentral is "lncRNA ENSSSA2NGG001839". Lineage: Eukaryota; Metazoa; Arthropoda; Insecta; Hemiptera; Aleyrodidae. The record is from RNAcentral.